RNAcentral lists this ribosomal RNA (253 nucleotides) under uncultured bacterium. RNAcentral describes it as "partial 16S ribosomal RNA". It matches the Rfam family "Bacterial small subunit ribosomal RNA", at positions 524 to 776 of the family's 1533-position model. The record is from RNAcentral.
UACGUAGGGUGCGAGCGUUGUCCGGAAUUAUUGGGCGUAAAGAGCUUGUAGGCGGUCUGUCGCGUCUGCUGUGAAAAUCCGGGGCUCAACCCCGGACUUGCAGUGGAUACGGGCGGGCUGGAGUUCGGUAGGGGAGACUGGAAUUCCUGGUGUAGCGGUGAAAUGCGCAGAUAUCGGCAGGAACACCCAGGGGGAAACCAGUCGACUGGGCAUCUACUGACGCUGAGGUGCGAGAGCGUGGGGAGCGAACAGG